UGGGGCAUGGUGCAAUGGCAGCAUACCGGACUUUGAAUCCGUUGGUCUUGGUUCGACUCCAAGUGCCCCGG
This 71-nucleotide transfer RNA is filed under the name Anaerolineaceae bacterium. Its description in RNAcentral is "tRNA-Gln". It matches the Rfam family "tRNA". From Rfam's summary of the family: Transfer RNA (tRNA) molecules are approximately 80 nucleotides in length. Their secondary structure includes four short double-helical elements and three loops (D, anti-codon, and T loops). Lineage: Bacteria; Bacillati; Chloroflexota; Anaerolineae; Anaerolineales; Anaerolineaceae. The record is from RNAcentral.